RNAcentral lists this long non-coding RNA (248 nucleotides) under Lathyrus oleraceus (garden pea). RNAcentral's name for it is "Pisum sativum (pea) long non-coding RNA (PSAT_LNC005325)". The record is from RNAcentral. Lineage: Eukaryota; Viridiplantae; Streptophyta; Magnoliopsida; Fabales; Fabaceae.
AAAUAACAAGGAUACCAGAUGCCAAUCAAUGGACUUAUACUAGUCUCCCACCAUAUCAUAGGAACAACUGCCAAGUAAUGGACUUAUGCUUGUCUCCUCCAUGGACAAAGAAAAAAUGCUAUAAAGCAAAGUUUAUGAAAUGAUAUAAAAAUGAUGAUGAUAAAUGCACAAAGGCACACUCAAGUAGAUAUGCACAGAUGAAUCAAACAAUCAGACAAACAAGUCAGUUAGCACACACUAUAUACAAG